GAGGAUGUAGCUCAGUGGGAUAGAGCGCCUGUCUUCGAAAUAGGAAGUCACAGGUUCAAAUCCUGUCAUCCUCG
RNAcentral lists this transfer RNA (74 nucleotides) under Phormidium sp. FACHB-592. RNAcentral's name for it is "tRNA-Arg". It matches the Rfam family "tRNA". From Rfam's summary of the family: Transfer RNA (tRNA) molecules are approximately 80 nucleotides in length. RNAcentral also lists the same sequence under 1 other name. The record is from RNAcentral. Lineage: Bacteria; Bacillati; Cyanobacteriota; Cyanophyceae; Oscillatoriales; Oscillatoriaceae.